RNAcentral lists this ribosomal RNA (506 nucleotides) under Salinivibrio sp. HDEN12. RNAcentral's name for it is "bacterial SSU rRNA". It matches the Rfam family "Bacterial small subunit ribosomal RNA", at positions 380 to 877 of the family's 1533-position model. Lineage: Bacteria; Pseudomonadati; Pseudomonadota; Gammaproteobacteria; Vibrionales; Vibrionaceae. The record is from RNAcentral.
AGCCUGAUGCAGCCAUGCCGCGUGUGUGAAGAAGGCCUUCGGGUUGUAAAGCCCUUUCAGCAGUGAGGAAAAGUUAGUAGUUAAUACCUGCUAGCCUUGACGUUAACUGCAGAAGAAGCACCGGCUAACUCCGUGCCAGCAGCCGCGGUAAUACGGAGGGUGCAAGCGUUAAUCGGAAUUACUGGGCGUAAAGCGCAUGCAGGCGGUUGCGUAAGCCAGAUGUGAAAGCCCGGGGCUUAACCUCGGAAUAGCAUUUGGAACUGCGUAACUAGAGUCUUGUAGAGGGGGGUAGAAUUUCAGGUGUAGCGGUGAAAUGCGUAGAGAUCUGAAGGAAUACCAGUGGCGAAGGCGGCCCCCUGGACAAAGACUGACGCUCAGAUGCGAAAGCGUGGGUAGCAAACAGGAUUAGAUACCCUGGUAGUCCACGCCGUAAACGAUGUCAACUAGUUGCUUGUGGCUUUUACGCUGUGGGUGACGGAGCUAACGCAUUAAGUUGACCGCCUGGG